Molecule: transfer RNA, 82 nt
Filed under: Echinostoma caproni
Lineage: Eukaryota; Metazoa; Platyhelminthes; Trematoda; Plagiorchiida; Echinostomatidae
Rfam family: tRNA
About the family: Transfer RNA (tRNA) molecules are approximately 80 nucleotides in length. Their secondary structure includes four short double-helical elements and three loops (D, anti-codon, and T loops).
Source: Rfam by way of RNAcentral
GACCUCGUAGCUCAGCUGAUAGAGCAUGUAUGUACAAAGCGUAGGCGGCGUCCAUGCAUGGGUUCGAAUCCCACCGAGGCUA